CUACAGGCUUAACACAUGCAAGUCGAGGGGCAGCAUGGUCUUAGCUUGCUAAGGCUGAUGGCGACCGGCGCACGGGUGAGUAACACGUAUCCAACCUGCCGUCUACUCUUGGCCAGCCUUCUGAAAGGAAGAUUAAUCCAGGAUGGGAUCAUGAGUUCACAUGUCCGCAUGAUUAAAGGUAUUUUCCGGUAGACGAUGGGGAUGCGUUCCAUUAGAUAGUAGGCGGGGUAACGGCCCACCUAGUCAACGAUGGAUAGGGGUUCUGAGAGGAAGGUCCCCCACAUUGGAACUGAGACACGGUCCAAACUCCUACGGGAGGCAGCAGUGAGGAAUAUUGGUCAAUGGGCGAUGGCCUGAACCAGCCAAGUAGCGUGAAGGAUGACUGCCCUAUGGGUUGUAAACUUCUUUUAUAAAGGAAUAAAGUCGGGUAUGCAUACCCGUUUGCAUGUACUUUAUGAAUAAGGAUCGGCUAACUCCGUGCCAGCAGCCGCGGUAAUACGGAGGAUCCGAGCGUUAUCCGGAUUUAUUGGGUUUAAAGGGAGCGUAGAUGGAUGUUUAAGUCAGUUGUGAAAGUUUGCGGCUCAACCGUAAAAUUGCAGUUGAUACUGGAUGUCUUGAGUGCAGUUGAGGCAGGCGGAAUUCGUGGUGUAGCGGUGAAAUGCUUAGAUAUCACGAAGAACUCCGAUUGCGAAGGCAGCCUGCUAAGCUGCA
RNAcentral lists this ribosomal RNA (711 nucleotides) under uncultured Bacteroidales bacterium. RNAcentral describes it as "bacterial SSU rRNA". It matches the Rfam family "Bacterial small subunit ribosomal RNA", at positions 40 to 738 of the family's 1533-position model. The record is from RNAcentral. Lineage: Bacteria; Pseudomonadati; Bacteroidota; Bacteroidia; Bacteroidales.